Molecule: transfer RNA, 72 nt
Organism: Toxocara canis (dog roundworm)
Lineage: Eukaryota; Metazoa; Nematoda; Chromadorea; Rhabditida; Toxocaridae
Rfam family: tRNA
About the family: Transfer RNA (tRNA) molecules are approximately 80 nucleotides in length. Their secondary structure includes four short double-helical elements and three loops (D, anti-codon, and T loops).
Source: Rfam
CAGGCAGUAGCUCAGUGGUAGAGCCCCUGAUCUUUAUGCGGGAAGACCUGGGUUCGAUUCCCGGCUGCUUGC